GACGAACGCUGGCGGCGUGCUUAACACAUGCAAGUCGAACGGAAAGGCCCUGCUUUUGUGGGGUGCUCGAGUGGCGAACGGGUGAGUAACACGUGAGUAACCUGCCCUUGACUUUGGGAUAACUUCAGGAAACUGGGGCUAAUACCGGAUAGGAGCUCCUGCUGCAUGGUGGGGGUUGGAAAGUUUCGGCGGUUGGGGCUGGACUCGCGGCUUAUCAGCGUGUUGGUGGGGUAGUGGCUUACCAAGGCUUUGACGGGUAGCCGGCCUGAGAGGGUGACCGGCCACAUUGGGACUGAGAUACGGCGCAGACGCCUACGGGAGGCAGCAGUGGGGAAUAUUGCACAAUGGGCGGAAGCCGGAUGCAGCAACGCCGCGUGCGGGAUGACGGCCUUCGGGUUGUGAACCGCUUUCGCCUGUGACGAAGCGUGAGUGACGGUAAUGGGUAAAGAAGCACCGGCUAACUACGUG
Molecule: ribosomal RNA, 468 nt
Filed under: uncultured bacterium
Lineage: Bacteria
Description: partial 16S ribosomal RNA
Rfam family: Bacterial small subunit ribosomal RNA
Source: RNAcentral